Molecule: non-coding RNA, 2093 nt
Organism: Phoenix dactylifera (date palm)
Lineage: Eukaryota; Viridiplantae; Streptophyta; Magnoliopsida; Arecales; Arecaceae
Source: RefSeq, a predicted model, not a curated record
CUAGGACCCUCCAUCAAUGAGCAUUGUGCCUCCUCUCUCUUUUCUCCUUUUAUCAUUGUGUUCGUCGAAAAUUGGAGUUAAAGAUGCCGCCGAAGUUGAGGUGUUGGAGCCGCCAUUACGUAUGUUGUUCGUUAUCCACUGGAGCAAUAUACCGAGUGGAAACUACGAUGAUGAUGUUGCUUGGUGGAUAAUCAUUUAAGUGCAUCCAAUAUGCUGGAAAAGAUAAAAGGUUGUGAAUUCGGAAUGCUUUGGAACUAUCUUGUGCAUUCUAGCCGUUAGGAACUGUACUUGACUGCUUGGAAGUUUCUGUAUUCCACUUGGCAACAUUGUCUCAAUGUUGCCGAAGAGUCAAAGUCCCACAUAUGAUCAACCACAUGUGAAUGAACAAAGACAUCAACUUUAAUAUUAAAAUCAAAGUUAACCUCACCUAACCCAAUUUCCUUAGUUAUCAAUUCUCAUUCGUGUAUCAUGGAAGCUUUUUUUUCUUUUUUGGUACAACGGUAAUAGAAUCGAGCUCAGUCCAAAGAACCUCCCAUGUAUGGUGGGCAGCAAAGGAGGCGACCUAAUCUGCAGCUCUAUUCAUCUUCCAAAAUACAUAGGCAACCUGAAUCGAACGGCAUCCCGCUUACAACUUCCGGCGAGCGCUACCUCUAGUGGUCCUAAUAGAAUGCAAGCCUUCUUCAGCUGCCGCAUCAUCUUAAAAGAAAAGAACACAGAGGAGGACAUAGAAACAGAGUUUCUAAGUGAAGCAGUUGGAGGUUAGAUUUGGGGAUGAUGGAUGCUACAUUCUUUUUUAGAUAUGCUUUGACGGAGUUGGAGGAUAUCUGGCCUGCUGAAGAAGGAAUAAAACCAGAACUUUUUUAUUCCAAACACUUCCGUUUUACUGUUUGGUCUAAACGGAAGGGUGAAUCCUCUAGCUCAAAACAGCAGAGUUUGCUGCAAGACUUACCCUAAUUUGUUCUUGAGCAGAAAAUAUUUCUGAAAUAUUUCUUUUUGUUCAAUGAAUCAAAAUUCCAGGAUUAAAUCAUUGCUUUUGGCUCAAAGUAGAAUGCAUAUGCUAGUGCACUGCACACAAAUCUAUUUUGGGAUGUGAUUACUAAUUUUGAAGCCGAAUUUGAGCCCAUGAUGUUGGCUAUGUAGAUUGAUUUAACAAUUACUAUGUUUAAAGAUUUCGUUAAGAUGGUUAGCUUUUUUAAGGUUUUAUUGUUAGAGCCCUUGUGGGGGCUUGAAGCAAACUAGGAAGUUAAAAAUUUCAAUCUGUUUAGUAUUAUGAUAUGUUUAGUUGCUGGAUUAAAUUGCUUAAGCAACCAUGCCCCAUGAACUUAAACUCUUCUUAUGGUAAAAUUCAGUAGCUCUUUAUGAAAUUUCUCCCAUAUAUUUUUAAGCUUCAUCUUGCCAGAGGCGUUAAUUGUUAACCUGAACUGGAACUUCAAGUAAUUACUUUCCAGAAGUACAAUUAAGUGUUUGAAGUGAGACAACAACCCAAUAAAAUUUUACAUGGUGAAACAGGUUUCUCAUAAUUAUAGUUUUACAACCCAAAAGAGGUCAGUUAAAUAAUAUGAUAGGGUAGCUAGGUGCUCUCCUCUUAGCUAUCGACAAACUUCAGUUACUGGUCAAAUUUGUGCAGUCAGGAGCUUUUGGUGGAAUUCAAGAAAAAUCUGGGCAAAAAAAUCAAAGAUUUCAAAGAGAAGAUGCUUAAUGCUUAACAUGUCUUUGUUUCCCAGAUGCGUCGUCGUAGCUCUAAUCAUCUAACUUGGUUACUCCCCUCUCUUCUAUAUUAUAAUUCUUCUCUUCUUUUAUUCUGAAUAAAUUUUGGUGACUAACGAGGACUACACCCAUUAGUCUCCUUCCUCUCGAACAAAAAAAAAAAAAGACAAACUACAUAAUUCAUAGAUCUGAAAAGAAAAAGAACAUGAUAUCAUAAACAACUAUUACAUCUUCUACGGAAGUUACAAGUCACACAUUGAGAGGGUGAUUAGCACUCAAUCACACUGAGAGAAUCCACGGAAGCGGAUGCUCCUCCCUCUCUAAAUAGUUUUAUUGUGAACACAUACAUCAGAUAUAUAUAUAGGAUCUCCUCUCAAAAAAAAAAA